GGAGGGCUGGUUUGUAAUUAGAAGAAAGAAGAUGGGUAGAUCGAAAUGGAAGGGGAUUUUCCCCCUUCUUCUUCCUUUGUUCGGUACAGGAGAUGGAGGAGGGGAUGGCCGACGGCGGGCUAGCUGGCCUAGCUUGCUGGCGGCAAGGCCAAGUGGUGGAGAAGGGGGAGGAGAGUGUGGGGGACCCAUUUUGGCCCUCACCUUGGCCGGCUAGCAAUGGGGAAGGGGGCGCCGGCGGUGGACUAGGAGGUGGCGGCGGCGCGUGGGUGGUGGAAAAGAGGGGACGAGCGGUGGAGAGCGGCGCCGGUGGUGGUGUGGAGGCGGCAGGGGCUCAGCCCCCUUUUUAUAGGCGACGGGAGGGUAGGCGGAGGUCGGAGGUAAUGAUUGUGGUUGGACUUACG
This 401-nucleotide long non-coding RNA is filed under the name Setaria viridis. RNAcentral's name for it is "long non-coding RNA (SVIR_LNC007790)". The record is from RNAcentral. Lineage: Eukaryota; Viridiplantae; Streptophyta; Magnoliopsida; Poales; Poaceae.